GAACCAGUACCGUGAGGGAAAGGUGAAAAGCACCCCGGAAGGGGAGUGAAAUAGAACCUGAAACCGUGUGCUUACAAGUAGUCAGAGCCCGUUAAUGGGUGAUGGCGUGCCUUUUGUAGAAUGAACCGGCGAGUUACGAUUUGAUGCAAGGUUAAGCAGUAAAUGUGGAGCCGUAGCGAAAGCGAGUCUGAAUAGGGCGUUUAGUAUUUGGUCGUAGACCCGAAACCAGGUGAUCUACCCUUGGUCAGGUUGAAGUUCAGGUAACACUGAAUGGAGGACCGAACCGACUUACGUUGAAAAGUGAGCGGAUGAACUGAGGGUAGCGGAGAAAUUCCAAUCGAACCUGGAGAUAGCUGGUUCUCUCCGAAAUAGCUUUAGGGCUAGCCUCAAGUGAUGAUUAUUGGAGGUAGAGCACUGUUUGGACGAGGGGCCCCUCUCGGGUUACCGAAUUCAGACAAACUCCGAAUGCCAAUUAAUUUAACUUGGGAGUCAGAACAUGGGUGAUAAGGUCCGUGUUCGAAAGGGAAACAGCCCAGACCACCAGCUAAGGUCCCAAAAUAUAUGUUAAGUGGAAAAGGAUGUGGCGUUGCCCAGACAACUAGGAUGUUGGCUUAGAAGCAGCCAUCAUUUAAAGAGUGCGUAAUAGCUCACUAGUCGAGUGACACUGCGCCGAAAAUGUACCGGGGCUAAACAUAUUACCGAAGCUGUGGAUUGUCCUUUGGACAAUGGUAGGAGAGCGUUCUAAGGGCGUUGAAGCAUGAUCGUAAGGACAUGUGGAGCGCUUAGAAGUGAGAAUGCCGGUGUGAGUAGCGAAAGACGGGUGAGAAUCCCGUCCACCGAUUGACUAAGGUUUCCAGAGGAAGGCUCGUCCGCUCUGGGUUAGUCGGGUCCUAAGCUGAGGCCGACAGGCGUAGGCGAUGGAUAACAGGUUGAUAUUCCUGUACCACCUAUAAUCGUUUUAAUCGAUGGGGGGACGCAGUAGGAUAGGCGAAGCGUGCGAUUGGAUUGCACGUCUAAGCAGUAAGGCUGAGUAUUAGGCAAAUCCGGUACUCGUUAAGGCUGAGCUGUGAUGGGGAGAAGACAUUGAGUCUUCGAGUCGUUGAUUUCACACUGCCGAGAAAAGCCUCUAGAUAGAAAAUAGGUGCCCGUACCGCAAACCGACACAGGUAGUCAAGAUGAGAAUUCUAAGGUGAGCGAGCGAACUCUCGUUAAGGAACUCGGCAAAAUGACCCCGUAACUUCGGGAGAAGGGGUGCUCUUUAGGGUUAACGCCCAGAAGAGCCGCAGUGAAUAGGCCCAAGCGACUGUUUAUCAAAAACACAGGUCUCUGCUAAACCGUAAGGUGAUGUAUAGGGGCUGACGCCUGCCCGGUGCUGGAAGGUUAAGAGGAGUGGUUAGCUUCUGCGAAGCUACGAAUCGAAGCCCCAGUAAACGGCGGCCGUAACUAUAACGGUCCUAAGGUAGCGAAAUUCCUUGUCGGGUAAGUUCCGACCCGCACGAAAGGCGUAACGAUUUGGGCACUGUCUCAACGAGAGACUCGGUGAAAUCAUAGUACCUGUGAAGAUGCAGGUUACCCGCGACAGGACGGAAAGACCCCGUGGAGCUUUACUGUAGCCUGAUAUUGAAAUUCGGCACAGCUUGUACAGGAUAGGUAGGAGCCUUUGAAACGUGAGCGCUAGCUUACGUGGAGGCGCUGGUGGGAUACUACCCUAGCUGUGUUGGCUUUCUAACCCGCACCACUUAUCGUGGUGGGAGACAGUGUCAGGCGGGCAGUUUGACUGGGGCGGUCGCCUCCUAAAAGGUAACGGAGGCGCUCAAAGGUUCCCUCAGAAUGGUUGGAAAUCAUUCAUAGAGUGUAAAGGCAUAAGGGAGCUUGACUGCGAGACCUACAAGUCGAGCAGGGUCGAAAGACGGACUUAGUGAUCCGGUGGUUCCGCAUGGAAGGGCCAUCGCUCAACGGAUAAAAGCUACCCCGGGGAUAACAGGCUUAUCUCCCCCAAGAGUUCACAUCGACGGGGAGGUUUGGCACCUCGAUGUCGGCUCAUCGCAUCCUGGGGCUGUAGUCGGUCCCAAGGGUUGGGCUGUUCGCCCAUUAAAGCGGUACGCGAGCUGGGUUCAGAACGUCGUGAGACAGUUCGGUCCCUAUCCGUCGUGGGCGUAGGAAAUUUGAGAGGAGCUGUCCUUAGUACGAGAGGACCGGGAUGGACAUACCUCUGGUGUACCAGUUGUCGUGCCAACGGCAUAGCUGGGUAGCUAUGUGUGGACGGGAUAAGUGCUGAAAGCAUCUAAGCAUGAAGCCCCCCUCAAGAUGAGAUUUCCCAACUUCGGUUAUAAGAUCCCUCAAAGAUGAUGAGGUUAAUAGGUUCGAGGUGGAAGCAUGGUGACAUGUGGAGCUGACGAAUACUAAUCGAUCGAAGACUUAAUCAA
RNAcentral lists this ribosomal RNA (2426 nucleotides) under Staphylococcus aureus COAS6020. RNAcentral's name for it is "bacterial LSU rRNA". It matches the Rfam family "Bacterial large subunit ribosomal RNA", at positions 492 to 2925 of the family's 2925-position model. Lineage: Bacteria; Bacillati; Bacillota; Bacilli; Caryophanales; Staphylococcaceae. The record is from RNAcentral.